Molecule: long non-coding RNA, 2060 nt
Organism: Cervus elaphus (red deer)
Lineage: Eukaryota; Metazoa; Chordata; Mammalia; Artiodactyla; Cervidae
Exons: 4
Source: RefSeq, a predicted model, not a curated record
AGAAUCCCAUAGACAGAGGAGACUGGCAAGCUACAGUCAAUAGGGUCACAAAGAGUCAGACAUGACUGAACUUAGCACGCAUGCAUGCAAUGCUCUUUUAUGUGGUGGAAUAAGUGCCCUGAUGGGGCUGGGGAAGAAAAGAAGGUGUCUAUACCAUUUCCAUUCAAUUGAGUCAUGUACCCCAUGAAUGGAGACUGGAGUAAGGGAAUGAAGUCACCACCUACCUUGUUCCCCAUGUUUUCCUUUCCCCUUAGCUUACCCUCUUGUUUUACAUAGGAAACUAGUAUUUUCUUUGAGGUCCUGAAAAGUGAGAUCAAAGUCUAAUACUAUAUCUGCCAGACAGGACACAAGACACUGGAACAAGAGAGACAGGAGACUUCCCUGGAGUAACUGUUUAUGUCUAGCUGGGCUGGAGCAAAGGAUUUCAAGAACGGGAGCAAAGAGGGAUCUCCUGGAAAACCUGCUGUUUUCUGCUCUCCUCCCCUGGAGAAGUUGGAAAGGAAGAAAAUCAUCAUCCUGUUUGUUCUUGUUUCAUGUGCUAUUAUGUUCCCUUACUUCUCCAUGAAGAUAACUUCAGGGAAAUACUUCUCCACUGAACCUUUGAAAGUAGGACAUCACAGAAGGAUGUGAACACUGAGCCCCAGAAACAAGAUCCAGUAGAAAGAACCAGUUGUGAUGUUGAGUCUGCUAGACAGGUUCCUGGAGCAAGAGUGAAGAGAUUGGAUCCCAUCAUUGGGACACUUUAGGAAACUUUUUACUUUGAAAAAAAAAUGAUGUCUUUUCAUUGAGGGAGAGAAAGAAAAAUGUGUAGAAAAUGGAGAGUGCUGCCUCCUGGUGAACAGAGUCAGAACUGCAGGUAUGAGUGUCUGAACUGGGGGUUUGGCAAAGGAUGGGGGAUGGAAAGAGCUGUGGAAUUGAACGGAUUCCCUCCUACAGACCAAGAUUUCUAGACUUCACACUGGCAGCAGUCCUUCUGUGUUUAUGCCCAAGCUGGGAUCUUCAAGCCCUGGGACUGGAAAUCCAGCCUCUUAGUGAACUGAGUAGAAAGCUGCAUGAGCUAGUGUAUGAAUAAUUGGUAUAAACAGUUUGAGACAAGAAACAGAUAUAAAUACACACACAAACAGAAAACUGUCAAGUACAUUGUUUUCAUCUCCUUCUGAAACAAUGAAUAUAUGAACAUUACAUCUGCUAUCAGGGUGCAAUUUUUUGUAUUUUCAACAUUUUAUUCAGUAAAUUACAUAUUGAAAACACCCUAAAAAAAAAAAUGAAAACACCCUAGAAAUGCAACGUUAUAAAAUAAAAACAUCCUCUAUCUUUGACAAUGCAUAUUCACUGAAUAAUCAUUAAAGAGAUCUGUUUAAUCCUUAAGUCAGUGAAUGUAUUUCUACACUAUUAUUUUGUGACUCAGCUGUUGAUAAACCUGUUUUACAAAACUUUCUCUUAAUAUGUUGAUAAGUCACCAAUUAAUACUUCUCUUUGUUUAACACAUUUGAAAAAAAUAGAGACACGAGUUUCUCUUAACUUCUUGGUGCCUACUUUCCAGAUUUUUCUCUGCAUGUAAUACAGUAACAUAUUUAAUCACACUCAUACAGCCAUGCUGAUAUAUAUUCUUUGCAAAAAAAAGCAUCAUAUUUUUGGUACAUCAUGACAAUCCUGUUCACUUAAUAUGAUUUAGUUCUUACUUAUUUACGUAGUUUUUUUUUCUUUUCAAGUGUUUUUAUGUGCUCUUGAUAUCUUUGACCUACUCUAUUGGUCCUACUCUACUAUAGGACCUACUCUACUGUAGGACCUACUAUAGGUCUUACAUUGACCUACUCUAUUUAAGAAAUAAACCUAUACGUGAAUAUAAUAUCUUCCAGGUGUUUACACAUCUUUUAAUGUUGUUAUGCAGAGGAUAUCUAAUCCUUCGUAAUGAGUUUUAGUGUUUUGCAUGUACUUCACAUUGUUUUGAAAAGAACAACUGGAUAAUGAUGCUUCCUGGGAUGUCGAAUGUCAGUUAAAGUAUAAAAUGGGGAAUGCUGAAUCAUUUUUGUAACUCCAGUUUAUGAAUCCUGAAGUAG